CCUUGGGGCUGUCAUGCCGCAAACUUUUCUUCCAGGGAUUAACAAGAGAAACUCAUGAGCACACGUGGAGCUUCCCGCAACGCACAACAGAGAGAGAGCGAGAGAGAGACAGAGAGAGAGAAAGAAAGAGAGAGAGCAAGAGAUGGGACCAUGUAAAGGCACUUCUAACAGAUCUCCUCUCAUCCUCCCUCUCUUCUUCCUUCCUUCCUCUCCUCCUCCUCGUGCUGCUCUGCCAGUAAAGCCUGUUCCUGCUCACCUUGGCCAGGCUGAUGUGGGAUGCAAGCAGCUCCAUGUGAAUGCCUUUUUGCUCUUUAAAGAGCAGCUGUAUAGCUGCCGUGGCUAUCAGGAUCAGGGUGUGAUCUCCUUUUCUACUCGUUCCUCUCCUUCGCGCUCCCCUCAGUCCUCGUGCCUGCCUGUUUGUGUGUUAUUUCUCACCAGCAGACACUCCGCUACCCCACACACCCCUCUCCAGAGGGCAGACUGUGGGUUGCGUUCCCUCUUCUAGUCGGCUGGGCUGUGUGGGGUUCGGAGUCAGAGCGCUGUGAGAUGUAUUCCCUCUGAAACCCGGAGUGAGGGGGGGCAGGAAGUAACUCAGCAGCCGUAGAGGUAGCAUCGGCGUCGACAGCGGUGGCAACAGUGAGCGUGUGAGAGAGAGAUUAGAGUAGUGGAGCACGUUGCUGAGCUGAGCUGUGCCAUAGCGUGUUCUGUCUGGCUCCGUGCGCUCUGGUGAGGCAGGGGCGUCCAGGAGGGGAGACAUGUGGCUCAGCCCAAAGCCUCAGGACCAGGAACAGUGAAGAGCAGCCCUCGGCAGCCUCUAGCAGUAUGGCAGAGCCAGAGACCCACUGAUGAUUCCAGCCUGACUGAUGCCAGCCCACGUGUGGGUUACCAUGCGCCACAGCCGCGCCGCACCAGAGGGAAACACAGCCAUGUGAAAGUGGACUUGGUCGAAGAGCAACUCUUGGACAUGUUUUCCAGGGAAAAGUUUGUAUUUUUCUCCAUUUUUGAACUUGUUUUGUUUCUCUUGGUGCUGUUUGGCGGUCCCGAGCUCAGCCAGCAGGCAAGGACUAAAGCCAGAUGGAACAAGGGGGGGUCAAUCCACAGAUACCACAGGAGCCAACCCCUCUCCAGAGAUGGCAGAUGACAGGGAUUCUCCUCCAGAAAAGAAGUCUGCCGUGGCUGAGCUUUUUGGGGAGUUGUUCACGACCCAGG
This 1209-nucleotide long non-coding RNA is filed under the name Salmo salar (Atlantic salmon). Its description in RNAcentral is "lncRNA (ENSSSAG00000083827.1)". The record is from RNAcentral. Lineage: Eukaryota; Metazoa; Chordata; Actinopteri; Salmoniformes; Salmonidae.